CUCGACACGACUAUAAGUGAUGUUAACAGUUCCUCAGGACUUCUCUUCAUAUUUGUUUGAGAAGAGGUUAGCUGAGCUCAGAACACAAGGAAUCUGUCAGAUCAAAGCUAGAUUUCAUGUUUCUGUUGCUAGUGAGACUAAAGUAAGCAAUGUCCUCCUAAUAAUCAAGGAACAGUAAAUGCUGUUGUAUACAGUUUCUUUGUCAGGAGUUAGAUGUAGUCCUCAGAAAUUUGCCAGUUCAAUCCCUCACAUGGAGUUUUCCUAUGAAAAAGUUAGAACCGAUGUUUUAGGACUGCUCAGACUUACUGUGUAUUUUUCUUCCUGUAAGACUUGAAUUGAAUGUGAAACUGCAGAGAGUUUUGAGGAGGACUUGGAGAAGAAUGGAAAGAAGGCUACAGUAGAAAGACAACUUCAGAAAGCAGGCCAAUACUUACUGUACCUGAAAACAAAUCAGACUAACAUGGGAAUCCGUAUUCACAUUACUAAUUCUGCAUUGUUUCCCUCCAGAAGCUGUUUCUACAUAAACUUUACCAUACUUGAUGUUGGAAUAAUAAUAGCAUGCAUUAGUUUUAUCAUCAUUAUUAACAUCUAAGUUACAUAAUCUUGAAAAAGCAUGCUCAUUUUAGAUAUCAUUAUCUACUAUAAAAGUUCUUCUCCCAAAACUUGAUUCUCAAAACUACAGUGAAAAACCUUACAUUUCUUAACUGGCAGAAACCAUAGUUGCACUUAAAAUUAUUCUGAUAAUGCUAGAUUUUCUGUUUGGUUCUGAGGAGAAAAGAAAUACAAUAUCAGUUUUUCACAGAGGCUUAUUUAAAUGGAAAGGAAAAAAAAAAAGAUGACUUAAUACAAUCAUAAGGAACACAAAAAGUUAUUCAUCCUGAGCAACAAGCCUGACAUCAAUUAAAAUUGAGAUAAACAAUUAGUAAAUAUAUAUAUAUAUAAACAUAUUGUCAUCUGAGAUGUUAAGAACAUGCUAUGCCUUUAAUAUAGGCCUUCCCCACCCCUUAAAGUACAGCUUCAUAUCUCUGUCCUUCCAAUCUAUCUCAGUGGUACAAUAGCUUCCUUAUCUGAAAGCAGAAAAGGGAAAUGGAUGAAACCACAUCCAUACAAAGCAAACAGGGAGCUGACAUUUAUCUUAGUUCUUAUAAGAAGAAAAAUCCUUACUUUUUUCAGUCUACAAAGUAGGAUCUAUUUGUGGCAAAGAAGACCUUGUGUCCUAUUAUGUCUUUGAACUAACAAUAACCUGGGUCACUAUCUCAGCACCAAGCACAGAGAAACUUAUUCAGUCACAUAGAUUACUAGCAACAUCUGCUUUACUAAAAGCACCUGAGAUGCUUCACUCACUUCAGUAGCAUCAGUCAGUUAUGCCUUUGAGUCAUGAACACAAACAAGCAGCAAAAGCAAUACCAUGACCUAAAAAAAGGUCUGUAAAACUGCAUAUACCAAGUACUUGCUUACCUCAAAGCAGGCUAUAAACAACAUCUACUGCUUUUACAUAAACUUCAACUCUCCUUACUAUAGCACAGCUACCACUAGGAAAGAACAGCAUAGCAUAGCUUGUUCGAGUUCUACUCACACUCUUGAGCAUUAACAGAAGAUAAGCAGACAGCAUAGAUGAUGAAACAUUCAACAAAGGUAGAAGUUAUGCUGAAGAUAUCACACUCCUACAACUUUUAAAAUGAAAGCACUUUAAAGUAUUAGCAUGACCAUAAAUGAACGUUAUGUUAAUGAAGCAACUUUCCUCAAUUGCAUUUAAAACAGGUGCCAUAUACUCUACACACCAAUGUUUAUACAAGUCAAUUAAUACCUAGAAAUUAAAAAAGUAAAACACUACCUUACUGCAUCCUUAUAGCAUCCUUCUCCCUUAAAAACAAUAACAAAAAAUAAGAAGUAACCAAUGAGGCUUACCACCUUAUAUAGGCACCUUAGCCUACCUGAUGAGAAGAAAAGGGACAGGUGAGAGAAAUCAAUUCAGCUGUGCCUCGUUGGCAUUCCUCAUUGAGAGCAGGUGGCAAAUUAUUACAAAUGAAAGGCUAUUAUAAAAAGGUACCCUUAGUGGCCUCUAAGGAGCUUAUGGAGUUGAGAAGUUUUGUGGCCUCAGUGAUACCCACCAGCCAUAGGAACCAGAUAAUAUUUCCACUUCAUACAUGGAGAACUGAGGCACAGUGAAGUUUAAAAAAAAAAGUCAUGGAAGGCACCCAAGAAGCACAUGACAGAAGCUGGAAGGCAAUCAAGUAUGCUGAGAACCAGUCAUCUGCUUUAUGGACAAUGGUUCUCCUCUAAACUGGAAGGAUUUUCUUUUAUUAGCAAUGAAGGUCAAGCAAAACAAGAGGUAUUUAAGCUCUUAGCCCCAACUAGCUGAGAAAGAAUGCAAAAUCCUGCACUUCCUGAAAUGUAGAUGUCAAAUCUUUUAGAAUUUUACUAAAAAAAAAUCUUGAUGUAAUAAAAAGUGAAGAUAAGGAAAUACUACUAUGAAACUACUUUUAACUGGUAACAAACCCCUUUAAAGAGUGUGUAAGCUCUAUAAUGCUAACCUGAAAAGACCUGGAAGGAAUGUAACUCAGUUUUUAUGAGAAGUACUUUAGCCCUAUGAUUACAGACUCUUGUUAUUCUUUUUUUCUCCAUGUGUGUUGUGGUCCCAAAGCUACAAUGUACACUGGAAGGGAAAGGAUCCUAUUUACAGGACAGGUGUCCUGAACUACAUGCUUAUAAGCAGUCGUUGAAUAAAGCUCUUGAUCUUGGCUGUCAUGCUUCUCCUUUGAAUCUACAAACCAGAGAAUGUGCCUUAUGUUGAGACUGUUUUUGCAAAACGUCAGAACUCCCACUUUGGGCAUCAAAAACCAGACUUGUCUGUUGGACUGAAAAUAUAAAUUUUUUCCAUUAUAUGCUUGUGGUCUGACCUUGUGCCAGUAGAUCACAGCAAGGGUUGUUUCAUCCACAGCGUGUCCCAGUUUUCCUGUCCUUUUCAUGUGACUUGAGGGUAGAGUAUUCCUGAGGGCUGCUAGCCCAUGUUCCUUGUAGCCAUGCGGGGAACAUUCAGGAGGCUGACAUUACUGAUGUCAUCCAUCAUGCACGCUAGAUUUGUAUGCAUGGUAGCUUGAACCAGGCUACUCUACUUAUUUGUCUGCACAAAGAAGUCAUGUAAAGUCAGGUGCUUGUUCAGAGUGCACCUUGAUACCUGUGCUGCUGCAGGAAUGAAAAGUCAGUUUCCAGUAAAGUUUCUAUUUGUCUGGAUGUGAAUAUUCUGGUGUUGACAACCUGACUGGAAGAUUCUGCAGAGUUUUUUUUCAUGGUUUGGCCUUAAAUGGUGAAAGAAUGAGAUUCAUACAGAAGGAAAUGCUUAUUUUAAGAUAAGAAAUGCUUGUUUGCUCUUGUACUGUGAGUGAGUGUUGGUUUUUCCUGUGUCAGUCCUGGUGAUUUUCAAAGGCAACUGGCUAACAACCAUGACCAUAAAGAACACAUGAUGUCUGUGCCCUGAGAAAAAGCUAAGAAAGCUGAGAUGUUUCCUUCUCAUUACUGGGAUUAAAGUUGAUUACUUAUUAUAUUUGGGGCUUUUAGCCCUUUCCUGUAACAGAGAGGAGGGAAGAGUUCUGCUACUCUAGGAAGCUACAAGAUUAUGGAUAAAUGUGUAUUUAAUUUCUGAAGGCAAGAGGAUGUCAUUUCUAAAACUGUUUGCUUGUGUGGCAGGACUUAUUUGUGCUGUUAUGGCCUACAUACAACACUGCCAAAACUGAAGAAAUGUUUUCAAAUAGACUCAGUUUGCAACAUAGCUGAUUGUCUGGCUGUGCUGUGGCCAACCGGAAGUGUUCUGAUUAACACCAGCAUGCCUUGGACAGGAAGGGGAGAAUAGGGCUGCUGUGUAGUGUUCCAUCCUGGAAAUACAAGCUGAUAUUUGUGAGUUACUGACUGAAAAGGUUUGUGAUACUUUCCAAGUCAAACUGACCUAGCGUCCAAUUAGAGUUACUUCUGUGGUUACAUGAGUUUGCUACCAAUUAAUUGUUUUUUUAAUUGUAGAAAGCAGGGCUAUUCUGGUCAUUUUAGGAGUAAGUUAUUCUUUACAAUUCUGGUAUUGUUCUCUAUAAGCCUUUAUUUUUCCAAUUACAUUUUAAUUGGAAAAUUUAUACUUAACAGUGAUUUUUAGAAGUUUUGUUUGGAUGUUGAGUAAAAGUUGCAUCUUGUUUUCCAAGUGAUUAGACCAUAUCCAUCUCUAAUUAAGAAAAAUCUCCUUCAUAUAUGAAAGUGCUGCUCUGACAAUAGUGUUUCCCAUUUUAUUUUGUUGGCCCACAACUUCAGAGGUGGAUGUUGGUGGUAUGGCAGUGGAGGUUGAGCCUUUCAGCUAGUAUUCCAUUACAUUUUGUUGCCAUGCAACAGAUGGCAGCACUGGGGCAGUCUGACAAAAUGGCAUCAGACAUGGAAGUGUGUAUGAAGUAAAAGUGUGUCACUGAAUUACACCACGUGGAAAAAAUGGCAUCCAUUGACAUCAGCAAUGUUUUCUGAACAGUGAUGGAGACCAGACAGUGGAUGUGAGUUCAGUGAAGUGGUAGGUGGUGUGUUUCAAUGAUGGUGACAGUGUAUCACCUACACUGGUAUGAAUCUUUAUGAGCAUGGUAUCCAGGUUUUGUUUAUGGCUGACAAAAAUACACAAUUCAUGGUGGUGGCUCUGAAACGGUGUUUUGUAGCUGAGAAUUUCCUUUGUUAAUUGGUGUUAUGGUACUCUUUGUAUCUGUUGCAGUUUCCAUGGAAAGAAAUAGGAGGCAUUACUUUCAAAGUGAUCUGUAUGUUUAUAUGUAUAAAUUUAUAACUGCUUUUGAGCAGCUACUACUAUGUAGAAUUAGAAGGCAGAAUACCAAAGGAAGUGGUUAUGAUGCAGGAGGGUGCCAGUGAGACUUCAGUUUUUGAAGAAAACUUCAUCAGGAGGUUGGGAUCCAUUGGAAAAAGGGGAAGUAAUUUAGGUAGAAAACCUGUUUGAGGAAGAAGCUUUUUUUGCUGAACUGAUUUUGAAAAAGGAGGGGGGGAAAUGGAAUGAAUGAGGAGUCAACUACUCUUUAGGUGUUUAGUGAUGAAAUUGGAAGGUAACUGGAGAUAAAAUUAGUGAGGGGCAUUAAAGGUGACAAUAGAGAUAUUAUAAAAAUUCUUGUAGCAGAAGGGAGUAAAUGUGAUUCUUUCUCAGCUUGCAGGGUUGUAUGGAAACUGAGUCAUGGCCUGAACCACUGAUUGAGCACCUGGGGAAAAGACCUGGGCAGUCCUGGGAGCACAGGUGAAGGCAGUUCAUUUGUGUGACUGGAAGGGCUGGAGCCUGGCUGCGCCUCUCUUAGACCUCAUUUAAGGGCUGACUGCCACUGGAAAGGGAUCUCUUUCUGGAGAUCCCUCCUUGGUGAGGCUUUCCUCUGUGAACCUGGAAUCUUCUGAUAUGGAAGCUCCCCACCACAAUACCAGUAAAUGUUUUUGUGCUGGUAGUACUGGAAGCAGUAACACAAACCAAGAUCAGAUGUUUUCCAGCACUUGACUUUAAAGACUGCUGAUACAUUGCCUGGACAGGCAGAUCACAUCUUGGAAACUGUUCUUCAUGCCUGUUAAGUAACAGAUUUGUAUGUUGUAAGUAUAUCCAUGUUGUAAUGAUCUUACUCUUACGCUUCAUUAUGAUGUUCUUGGUGAUGGAAUUCAGUGCAUUUUAGAUAUUAAUCUAACAUGGUUAAAAAAGAUUCCUCUGCGAUGAGAUUUUGCAUCUUCCAUUUGUGCUGGCCUGCAUGUCUGUCAUAAGAAUGAUUUCUGAAGCCUCACUUAUGUCACUUGCCAAUGUAUGGAUUUUGACAAGUAUGGGAGGGACUCGGGAGGUAUCAGAAACAUGGCAAUGUACUAACCCCGUUACUGAUUGUGCAGUGUUCUUAAAUUUAUAUUAAUGAGAUUAUUGUAGAUUAUCUUCCCUGUAGAUUAGGGAAACAUCUUCAGGGCGGGGAGAGCAGUUAGGCUGUCUCUGUGAGAUAUGAGUAAAGCUGACUUCCUACAGCUCCAGAUCAGAACAGAGGCUUUUCUGAUCUUCAGGUGCCUAUCAGACCAUAGAGGUAGUAUUUCCAUUUCCAUUAAAACUAUAAUUGUUACUGACAUGCCUGAUUCUUUCUGUCAACGGGUGUAUCAUAGGUAGGAUCUAGCCACACGCCACAGGAGUGUUUGUUCUACUAAUAUUUUGUUUCUAGGUUUAAACACUAAUGGCAAAACAUGUUUAUGUCCUGCUGUCUUUAUAUGAACUUGAAAAUAUAUUACCAAAGGUGUUACAACCUUUAUGAAAUACUCAGAUGUAUCAUUACUACACUUACACCGCCCUUGUCCCUCCCUGCAUUUCAGCUGCACUAGUGAUGGUGGGAAAAACCAUAUGCUGGGAGGACUUAAGUGCUUUUGGCCAUUUGGUGGCUCCAGUUCUUACUCCAGAAGGAGGGAAUAUGGUUUGUGCUUUUGGUAGUGCUUAACUGUACUGACAGGAGAAGUUCAGCUGUAAGCACUUUUGAAUAUAAUUUAAUUUGCAACUUCUUGGCUUACCAUAAAAACAAGUCCAAUUCAGGGAUGGUGGAAUGGACCACCAUCCUCACCCCACAACUUGUGCUGUGCUACAGAGACGUACUGGGGAGCAAAUACUGACAACACUGAAUCCUUCAGGGACCUUGCAUACCCCAGUGAGUCAGACAUGUCUGUGCUGUAGUGAGAUGUGGAGGCAUCAGGCAGUGGGAACUGCCCACUUUGAUAUUCACUGCUGUCCUUCACGUGCUAGUAUCCACAUAAAUAUUUCCCACGGUUGAGAGAGAUAUUAAGACCUGUGGAGAAGAAGAGCAAGACAUUGUGGGAAAAUGUGUCAUGUCACAUACCUUGGCACAUCUGAGGUAAUACUUAUGCCUCAGAUAACAGCAACUAGCACAGGGGAAGUAGGUUGAGUAUGCAAAAUAUUCAUUGUACCCUGAGGUCCUCAAACACUCCUGUGAUUAGAUAUGCCCACUGUUGAAUCAAGGAGGGAUUAGAGAAAAGGUGUAGCUGACACAUCUACAAAAACUAAAUAAAUAAAUAAUAAUAAAAAAAUAGCCUACUGUGUUCAGAAGGAAAUAAGAAUAGCAAACUGAAACUCUUCCAAAAAAGACAGGUGUGUGAAUAAUUCCUGCCAAAGGAAGGUAUAGCGCUGUUUACAUUGCUGCAGUUAAGCAGAACUUCACUUCACCUCCCAGAGCACAAAUAUUGAGAUUUUUAAUGAAAGCAGCUGCAGGAUAUCUAAGAACAAGGAGGGUAUCUUUAGAUCUGAAUAUAUUGGCACAGGCUCUGUUAACCUUGUAAGUCAGGAAGUAAUGAAGUAAUUUAAAUGUUCUGGUUCUCUACUCAACAGCAGAGAUUAGCAAGACAACUGCCUUGGAACGUUUGGUCCAUGUCUAAUUCCCUCUGUGCUUUGCUGGUUUGAGAUAGAUGCAGAUACAUAAUAACUAUUGAGAGUCAAAAUGUCAAAAUAAUUUGGCAAAGCUUGUAUCCUACCUUUCUCCAAAUGGAGUAAAUCUGGAGGUGUAUUUGGUAUUAGCCUCAGUAGAGGCUAAUUGUAACAAGCUGGGUGUUACAAGCUGGAUAAGGGGCCUGGCUAAUCAAGCAUGGGGAAACUUCUUGUAGCAAAACCUCUCAGAAAAGCAGACUCUAGUGCAAGCUGGGGAUUUUUACCUAGUGAAUGCUAAAGGAAAUUGCAUUUGUAAAUGGUCAGAUGAGAUGAAUAUGUGCCGGCAGAAAAAUACAUUUUUAUGUGUCUCUACCUACUAUUUAUUGGGUAUAAUAUCCAAUUCAGUACUACAGGAAACAAUUCAUACAUUAAGAUGCUUGAGAUAAUUACUGACACCGUAGUGUCAGUACAAACAAACAAACAAAAAACUAGUAUCAAACACCAUAAGUGUUAGAGAGAUGAAAACCUACAGUAAGACUUCCAGACAUAUUGAGCUAGUCAGCAGUCUCCAUUAUCUGUAGUCCAAGAUCUGUGCCCUGCUUCAGCGGCACUUACACUGUUUCAGAUGCUUCCAAUUGUCCUGUACUGCUGAAUACAGAAAUCUUUCUAAGAAAAUGAGAAGAUAUGAAAAUAAAAAACAGUGAUUUGACUGAAAACAAAGAAUGUGGCAGGCAAGUUUAAGCCAGUUCUUUUGGAUCUUAAAUCAGUUGUCAGUGAUGGAAAGGAAAUGAAUGCAUUUUUGCUUACACAGAUUAUUAAGAGGAGUGGGAGAGAACUUGACAUGCCCCAAAAGCAGAUCCUACUACAGACUAAGGAAGACAAUUUAUUAUGCAAGAAGAACCAGUGGCUUAAUUCACUAUAGUAUGUCCUAUUUAUUUAUUUAAUAUACACCCCCGUCUUACAGGAAAUAGGUUGCGUCAGUUAAAUGAGCACUGAAAUCGUACAGCACUACUCCUAAGCACUACUGAAGGCAUGGCACAGGUGCUAUGCUACUUUGCUAUGGUAAAGCUGCCUAGGAUGAUUGAAGAGCAUGACCUGCAUUUCAUCAAAAUAUGAAGCAUCCAAAUUGCAUUUUUCUUAACCACUACAAGUUAAUAUAUGUUAUAUAAUUAAGAACUUGAGCUGAGUUGGAUGUUGAAACUCGAGGCUUUCAAAUUCAACAAAACUACUACCUUUAUGCUCUAUUUCUCUAUGCACUUUUAAAACUUUUGGACCAUUUCAUCUACUAUAUGAAUGGGCAUGAAAAUGUCAGAGAUAUGAAGCUUCUGCUCCUUUCAGGAGAAUCAGUGCAUAAAUAGUGGAAUAAGACCCAGAGAGAUGUCCCUGCUGAGGAAAACACUGCAGUACAAGGCAGAGUGUGAGUUGGAGGGUAAGCUGUGAGAAGAUGGCUAGGAAAAAUGCAAAUUCAAAAGGAAAAAAAAAUGAUUCAUCAGUUUUUUCUUCAUGGCAUGACUUGCUUUUUUUGUAUUUUAAAAUGUCACAGUUCAGAAAUUAUUGAAAAUUGUUACAAAGUUCUCUAUCUGAUAAUGUAGCUAUGUCAUCAUAUUAAAUUACCGUGCUGGCUUAGCAAGCUAAAAAGUAUUUUUGAAAGACUUGAGAUUUCAGAGAACCGUAAUUCACACUGUCUGAAAUACAGCUCAACUUCUUUUUGAAUGGAGCCUUUCUUACAAGAUUCCUGGCACUGCUUGGGUCCAGCUGGAUCAGAAAUAAUUAAAAGAAAAAAGAAAAAAACCCCAAACAAAUAGCCUCUCUCUGAAUUCAGUGUUUCUUCCCUGGCCACAGUGUCGAUUAGGAAGUCAGCAAGGAUGUGUAUGUGUGUGGGUAGCUAAGAUGGAUGUGAGAUUACUCCAAUUAUUACCAUAGAUUUAGCUGCCACCUUUGUGACAAGGUCUCUAAAAACCUAUUUCCAGCCUCUCCUACUUCAUAUAUAAUGCUAGAUGUAUCACUGGUGUCUUACUCAAUGAAAUAUCUUUUAUCUGCCUUCCUCUCUCAUCCCACCUGGGCUCUUGCCAGGUCACAUAGCUUUGUAAUAGCCCUGAUAUCAAUUCUGAGAGUCACACAAACUUGAAUCAUCCUAUGACUCGUUUUAAUCUUUAUUAUUGCAUGUUCUUUAUGUCAGUGUACAAGAAAUACAUUUAUAUAGUCCACAGAGCCUGGGGUAGCACAAGUAGUCAUGUUAGUUAAAGGUACUAAAUGCAUCCCAUCCUUUCACUUAUAUGUGAGAAUGAAGUGCAAUGAAAUUGCCAGUUUAUUGCUUUAUUUUUCAUAGGAUUGUAAAAUCAUAGAAUGGCUUGAGACGGAAGAGGCCUUACAGAUAUCUAGUUUCAGCACCCUGGCAUGGAGUCAGGGUCUCUCUUAAUGACAUCCCAUCCCUCAUGCAUAUCAGCUGCACCAUGAGGCUUGUCACGUGCAAACUUGCUGAGGGUACACUUGAUCCCACUGACAAUUUAACUGAUGAAGAUAUUAAACAGCAUUAGUUCCAGUACUGACCCCUGAGAGACAUGAGACACUGACCACCACUGUCUGGAUAUGAUCUUAAAACCAGUUCCUUAUUCAUGGAACAGUCCACCCAUCAAAUUCAUAUAUUUCCAGUCCGGAGAGAAGGAUGUUGUGAGAGACCAUGUCAAAGCUUUAACUGAAAUUCAGAUAGAUGACGUCCGUUGCCCUUCUCUUGUCCACUAUACACUUACUCCAUCACAGAAGGCCACUAGGUUGGUCAGGCAGUACUUGUCCUUGGUGAAGCCAUGAUGAUUGUCCCAUAUCAACUCCCUUUCUUCCAUCUGACUUAGCAUAGCUUCCAGGAAGAUCUGUUCCAUGAUGUUCCCUGGCACAGAGGUAAGACUGACAGGUCAGUAGUUCCCUGGAUUGUCCUUUCUAUUCUUCUUAAACUGGUGCAACAUUGCCUUUUUUCCAGUUACUGGGAACUUCAUCUGACUGUCAUGACUUUUCAAAUGUUGUUGAGAGUAUCUUGAUGACUACAUCAGCUGAAUUCCUCAGGGCUUUGGGACUCUCUUUCUGUAAAUGUAGAAAGAGAUAAACCCUAGUGUUUACAGUCAGCUGCAGGCUUUGAGUAGGGCUGGGGAACUAGACCUGGAUGCUGGGCUGUGAAUGGAGCCAUUCUUCUCUCACCCAUUCCCUGCAGCAGCAGGGACACAAAAGUGCACAGGAUGAGCAGGAACUGUGGGGUCAGGCACAGCACUUCUGGGUUAAGCUGCUUCUCUCCUUUUCUUGAGGCAUCUCUUCUAGAAGACUUGGUUUAGCCACGAGUUAAGCACAUGAGGAACACAUGACCUUCUCAAAGCAAAGAACCUUUAUUGUACAAUGAACUCAGUUAGCAACAUGGGAAAGUUGUUCUGAGAAUAAUUAAAGCCUCACUGUUCGUUCUAUAAUGGAACAAUGUUUGAAAGUGGGAAAAGAAUAUGAUAGGGAAUUGUUACUUUUUUAAACUAAGUUUUCCAGAACCUUUCCCAUGUCCUUGGCUUGAACAUUUACCACGGUAUAAUGUGAAGAUGCUUAGUUGUUCUCACAUACAGAGCCAAAGGAGGAAUUUGCUGUUUUCCUACCAGUUCAUUUUCUUCUGUGGGCAGAUACUCCACUCCCUUCAGUGAAUGAGAUGAGAAAUUAUGUUGUAGCAUAAUUUGAAAAGGCAAGGGAAAAUAUCAUGCUGUUUGUAUAAUCCUCUCUUACUCCUCUAAUGUGUCUGUAAGCAUCUGGAUGUCAUUUUCUGCCUGUCUACUGAUUAGACAGGUUGUGCAAAGGAGAAUGACUCUGUUGCUGUAAUAAUAUUGACCUGGAAAAUUGGUCUGUAGAGCUUCCGUAUGAAAUUCUAAAGCCUUCUUACAAACAUUAAUGAAAAGAAUUUCACAACCUUCUGUCAGACAGGUAAAUGUUACUGUCAUCAUUUGAUGUCUGCAAGAACCAGAAGAGAGAUUAUGUGAGUUGCUCAAAGUGAAGUGACAGGGCUGAGAACACUACCCGGCUCUCUGUGCCAUGAGCAGAUAAAAUGUAGCAAAUUCCCAAUCCAUUUAAUUUUACUAACCAAAAAAAAAAAAAAAAAAAAAAAAAAGGUUAGUGUAAAGAUGAGAAACAUGAAAAGCAAUUUAAUCUGAGUGGUGUUGCUGAUAAGUUGUAGUUUUUUUAGUAGGAAUUGUGUGAGAAUGUUUCAGAGAAGUCACAGCAGAUACAAUGGAUGAUGUGUCACUGUAGUGCCCCUGUCUAAGCAGAGGCGUUGAGACACUGGGCUUUUGUUUCUGCAUCCUGUGUUUAUCUUCUGGUGAAAGUUGGUGCUGCUCGGUGCAAGGGAGCACAACUCUGAAUGCUGCUUGAUCUUUACUGUUGUUGGAAGAGCCUUAAAAAGAAGCCUGUGUUCAGGAUUUGACUACUGACAAACACAGUGAGACUGGCACCAUCCUUAUUGGUAUUUAGGUGAAAAUAUAGCAAAAGAUGGUAGGUUCAUCCACGCCUGAACUUUCUUGUAGUAGAAUUAAGCAGUGAUUUCAAUUCCACGUGACAGCCACCAUAUUUUCUUGUUCUCACCUAGGAGGAAAUGGAUGAAGAUUCUGCAGAUGCUAAGCAACUUGUAUCUCAGGGGAUUAAAAUGACAGCCUGUUCCAUAAAUCCUUGAGGAUUAACAACACAUAUGUUCAAGCAUCAAAUCAUAGCAAAAGAAAAAGAGGAGCUUGUUUUUGUCUUGGAGCAUUAUCACAGCAGAUAGUAGAGACAUGGAAUGUAUGUAUAUUAAGUAAAGUUGGGAAAAUGUAUAAGAGUAGAAUAAAAUUUCACUGUUUUUACCUUCUUUUGUUAAUCAGGCCAUUGUAUUGUUGUAUAUUUAUACUAAAGAGUUCAAAUACUUGGAUUUUUAUUUCAGAAAGGGUUUGUGUUCUUGUCUGAGUUAAUGCUUGAGAACUAUAUUAUGGCAGUGUAUUGUACCAACAGCAGCUACGCUCCUGCUAAAUUUUAGGUGAUUACCUGUGUGAGCUAUUCCACUUAAAAAUAAUUAGAAAACAUUUCUCUUGAGUUGCAGCGCUGCAAAUAGAAAUCAGUUCACGUUAGUUUUGAAACAGUCUUGUCGUCAUAAAUUUCCUUUUAUGAUCUUGUCUUCAUCUAGUUCACUGUAUACCCCAAAGGUUAUUUUCUUUUCAACCCUUAACGGUUAACAUACCAUAGAAAAAAUAUGCAGGUAUUUGAGAGGGAUGGGAUAUUGUAUUGGAACUGUUAAACUGAAUUCAGCUGCUGACUUACAAGUGUCAGCAUUUUCUGAGUUUUGUAAAGAAGUGAACCAUACUGGGUGGAUGCCAAAAAGUACUCCUUUAUGUUCUCAUCAGUGGUGUACACGGAUGAAACUCUUCAGCUGUAAGAAUAGUUGUUUCAUUUUUAAUUUAGCUAAACCUCUGGGGAUUUGAAUUUUGGGCAAAACCUUGGUGUGGUGAUUUAUUUACUGGUUUGGCUGUUUGGGGUGUUGAGAAAUUCUUGUUCUCUCCAUUUUGAGUAUCAAUACUGAAGUACUUUGUCAAGAUCCUUGCACUUUGACUAUUUCUAUCUGAGAUUCAAAGCACUUCUAAAUGAUCAAGAUUAUAUCUAGACUGUGAGAGAAAUGUAUUCAUGGAACACCAACAUCCUGUUUUAUUGACUGUCCCAGUUGUGCAUCUCCCUGUUUUGACAUUCAAAACAUAGUGAUUAUUAUUACAGACAUGGUUCGCUUAUAAUGUAUGGUGAAAUAGAUCAUUAGAGUAAAUUAUAUAUUCUUCACUGUAUGUGGUCAGACAUCACUGUACCAGAGGGCUUUACAGGGUUACUGUCCCUUUUCUGCCUGUGCUGUGUUGCUGUACUGCUCCUUCUGCAAGCAGCUUCGUUAUUCCUGCUUGUGGAAACAACACUGUAUCAUCAAAAUCACUUUGUGAAACUAUCUACAUAUUUCUUAUGGAAAGUAUUGAAAAUCUCCAAGAACCAACUAAAGGCAUAAUGAAGGUUGGUAGAUUGCUGAAACUCAGUCUGAUUCUGUGAUGUAAGAUACAAUAUAGGUACAUAAACUUUGGUGAUGAAUAACUAAAUCUUUUCUUUCUUUACUUCUAGUUAGCAUGUAGGUCCUUUUUUCUGUCUAUAAUCUACUUAGCAUGACACUUUCCUUGCUGCACAAGCAUUUUUUUAAUUAUAAAGAUAUUAUUCCAAUUAAAUAUUACACAUCCCUUCAGUGAUUACUUCUUCCAGGUGGAAGAAUCAUUAAUGACAGCAUUACUAGGUGUGUAAGUUUUAGUAAUCAGGCUGGAAAUGCUUUUAUUGGGGGCUUGGUCCUGUGAAGUGUUGUAUACCUUGGAUUGCCAAGGACUCCAGAAGCAACAUGAGCACCUAAAAUGAAUGCUUUGUAGUUUUUAGACCUGGACUUUGCUUCCCUUCAUAAAUUAAUUGGCUUAGGGAUAGGUGAUAGCAUUGCAAGUCUCACACAUAGAGUGUGGCUAGAAUCCGGGGACUGUGUUGACUGGUAGUCCAUUUCAACAUGACAGAAACUUUGCUCUGCCAUAUAUCUCACACACUGAAACAACAAAAAAUAUUUUUCCAUUCACUUGUAUGAGUUUAGCAUCCAUAUGCCCACAGCCAAAGAAAUAUUUCUCCCUAAAACUAGUUUGUUUGUGUCAGAAUCUUUCGUAAGUGGACUCUGUUUUUGAGGACUCUAGUGUUUAACCACUCUGAUGCAACCAAAUCAUUACCUAAAUGUGAGCUUUCAUGGAGUCAUAUCCAUAUACACCAUAUAAAUGCUCUGACACAAACAAUUUUACUAAUUACCAUUCUUUCUAUAACCUUUCUGAAUCAAAAACUGUUUAGGCCAAUAUUUGGAGAAAGCUAUUUCCUGCAAAUAAUUUAUCUUUCUGAAAAUGUAUUAUUUCUUAUUUUUAAUUUGUGAAACAGAGACAGAAACUCUCCACUACAUAGACUUCUGAGUACCUUUCUGGCUCUCAAACCUAUAAGAAUGCUCUGCUGCAAUUACAGGAGUGGAUAUUCCUUUUUGUCUUCCUGUACAUCAGCACGUUGACAUUUCAUCGGUGACAUGCAUUUUCCGUGUGACUUUAUCUAAUUAUUAAAAUCUGCCUGCUUAUGACUAUUUCAGAGUUAUCUCCUCUCAGAACUAUUAUCAUGCCUUAAAAUGCUUGCAACUGUGAAAACUCAUAGCCAGAUGUUUCCUAAUGAACAGUGUGUGCUAUGGUCAGUUACACGUGAACUGCAUAAAUACGAACUUUCAAAACAAUAUGUGUUUUGUACUCGAGUUGCUCCAUGCUAGUGACUGUCCCCACCAAAAGCAGUUUCCUGGCAGAAGAUAAGGGUACAGAAGCUGUUAGAGCACAAAACCCAGCCCUCUUUCUGGGGUGUUUUUAUAUAUGUUUUUUUGCACACCACCCAAAAGUGCUCUGGGAAAUCAUAAAGAUGCAGAAAAGGAUCCUUGCACACAUUACGUAUGGAAUAUCAGUGCAAUUGUGGUGCCAUGAAUUCUGUAUGCCAGGUUUCAAUUUUGGGACUGAAUGAAGUCACUUGUCUAGAAGUCAGGCAAAUUUAUCAGGACAGAAAGAUACUUUUCUAGGACAGUGCUUUCUUGGUGGAGUAAAAUUGACUUUUGGAGGGACUGCAUAUAUUCAGGUACCGUUUGAUUAAUUAGAAACAUUUUUAUUCAGCAUCUCAACUAUCUAUUUCUGAAAAACUGAAGCAACCACGAGUGGCAAUUUCCAUCUAAGAGAUAUAUUUUGUUAGGCAGUUUGCAUUUUUGUGCUUUUUAGGUAUGCAUAAAUAUAUUACUAUUAAAGAAAAAGAACUUAAGAAUCCAUUUUGGCCAUCGUUAUUUAUGAUUUUGGUUUUUAUGAUUGUCUUAGCUUCUGUACUUAUCACAGAAGAAUAACAGUGUCAGUGUAAUACAGGCGAUGCUUCACUGAUGAUCAGUAUUUUUCUGUUAAUCAUUGAUUACCUUUUCUUAUAGGAAAAAGGAGAAAGCAUAUGCAGUGUUGGUACUGUGAUGUUGAAAAAAGUUACAAAAUGCUGUCUCAAGGCAUUCCAUUACAUGUACCAGAGUAUUAUGUACUUCUUUGGGUUCUUCCUAGAAUAUGGAGGCUCUGGAUUCUUUCUUUGCAUUAGAAAUGAAAGUCCUCUCUAUUCUGGGCAGAAUGUAACAAGGAAAACAUUAGAAAAGCAAUCAUUAUACUUCCAAACAUAUUAAGUAUGUAUGUAUUUGGAUAAAUAUAAUUCACUUUUGUAUUUUAUUACUUGCUUUCUAGUACAAAGAAGGCAAGGAAACUCAUGAAAAUGCAGACCAAAGAAGUAGCACAUGAGUGUGUCUGCAUGCACUGAUUUAUAUACUAACUUCAUUACACAGUGAUACAAAACAUCUAGACAGCAAUGUUUCCCUGCUUUGAUAUACUGUGCAUAGAAAAAUUUAGCUUUGUAUUAGAGAUCUUUUAUUCACUGCCAUCUGAAUCUUUUGCUUCCCUCAUUGUUCUGCUCAUCUCUAUUUAAAAUACUGUUCUGAUUCUGAUCUUAGAGCACUAUAAACCCCCACAUAAGUCUAACAACUUCAAAGAAGUUUCUUCUUUACAUAGUUAUAACUAAGAUAUGAAUCUGGCCUGUAGGCACAUUCAUUUUAUAGCAAGUUAAAACAUGUACCCUAACUAUUAGCAAGUCCUUAAGGUUAACAGACAUACACGUGCAGUUAGAAUAGAAUAGCAGCUACAGUGCUUUUUUUUUUCUUCAUCCAGAGCUAUUUUUGGUUCCUUUCCCUUUGACACACAUUCCUGGUAACAGUUAAAAGCAGGUCUUUUAGUACAGAAUUAAUGCUGAUAACUGAGCGCUUUAUCAAGUACGUUUCCUGCUUGGAUGCUAGUUGUUUUAUGUAGAGUAGAAAUGUGAGGUCUGAUUCCCAUUUUACUUGCAGUGAUAUAAAUCAUCAGAGAUGGGGUGCAAGAUUCUGCGCAGGAAAAUGAUUCUGUGGAUCCAUUCAUAUUUGUUGCUUGACUAUCAAAAUAAUGCGACAGAGAAACAGGGACUGCUCAUACCUUUGUGGACUCAGAAUGAUCCCUGUCCCUUUUUGUGUAAAGUCUGCUUCUAGGAAAAAGCUUCGCACAAGGUUGUUCACGGCUUUCCUCUCCUAAAAGACUGAAAGCUGAUGCUGCAGCACAUUGCAAUGACAGUGACAAUUGUAGCAGAGAGCACUGAUGGAGUUUGCCUUGACCUAGGUGGGGAAGGUAAGACCUACUGAACAAUGUCUGCUACCAUUGUCUGUGUGGACCGUCAUGUUGGAGUUGGAGGUCCUAUUUCUGUGUUGACAAGGCUGUAGCCCUUGCGGGUUGACAUGUACUUGGUAUCUGUGCUUUGUCUGUGGGCAGAACAUACCCCUAAGGUGAGAGGAGAUCUGGAUGACCUUGUCUUUCACAAACUGCUGUGGUGAGCCUUCAUCCCUAAGGGCUCAAUUUAUGUAAACUACCAAGUGCCUCUGAGUCUAAUUGAUUUCCUCUAGCAACUCCAAAAAGAUGUAAUAACAAUUUUUGGGGGUCAAUUUUGGGAUCCCUCUUCACACACGAACUGCAGUAUCCAGUAAAAUUUCCUGAGAUGCAUAUAAGCUAACUCCCCAGGUGUGAAUUUCUGGGUGCAGGUAACAGAAGGUUCUUAGUGGAAAGUCCCCGGGAUAUUGACUCAUUUCCUCUUUUUUCCAUUAGGGUCCAGAUUUUCUGACUUUCAGUGUGCAUAGCCAGGAAUACUUAUUUAAUUUAACAUUCCUGUGCCUGGGCAAAAUGCCAGGAGGAAAAGAAUUUGUUUUAUCAGUGGGAGGGGUUGGCAGAUGGUGGCACGGCUUUGGGCAUUUGCCAGUGGUUGACAAUAUCAUUUGUUUAUUUUUCUUUAACUGUGCACUCUGCCUACACAUGGGAUUAUGAUAAUGGGGGCAAAUAUAAAUGAAUAGUGAUGAAGGAGAUCAGCUUCUAAGAUCCCCAUUAGGAUGGAAGGGUGUUAAACUUACAGCCUACAGACAUCUGCCUUGACUCCAUGCAGCCUAUUAACCGCAUGCACACACAUUUUUUUAAAGUAUCAAACUCCUGCCCAGGAAGAGUUUCCCUUCAAGGCUAGUAUGAAGUAUUUAAGUUUAUAUCAGUGGGAUUUAAGCACAUGCUUGUUUCCUGAAGUAGGACUUUGCUAAGUUUCAUUCUUUUCAACUAAGUCUCUGGACUGCUGUGUAUUCUUCAGAGAGAAAAUGCAGCCAGAAAGUCAGGAUUUCCACUGAGAUGAUCUCCUUAAUCCAGUCACUGGAUUUCCAAGCAGGCUACAGUUGCAUUUGAAAAUGGCCAAAAAUAAAGGAAAAAGGUGUUAUUUUCAUAACGUAUGGUGGAAUAAAUGCUAUAAGUACGGUCACCAGUGAAUGAAAAACACUUGAUGUUAUUCAAGUUAUGUUUUGCCAAACAUAUACUUCUAAGUAAGAGUAAAGGUAUAGUAAGUAAAGAAUUUAAUAAAGAGCUUGUUCAUUUAAUAAGAACUAGACUAGUUAUAUACACAGUUCAAUAUGCAAAGGAAAAUCUCAUGUGGUAUGAGUAAAGAUCACGCAGUUGGGCUUUUAAGUCAUCAACUAGAUAUGGCAUCUAAAUCACAUACUUUAAGUAAAGAGAGGCCAGUUAUUUCUCCUGCUAUGACAUUGUUUGAAAUUGUUCCAGAGCUUGCAAGCUUAUGACACUCCAGGAAAUCAGCACACAUUAUAGUAGCACUUCACAGCUCAAUGUUGCCCAGAAUAUGGACUUGGGUCAAAACAGUCUCAUGCAGUGGUAGAGGUUUGGGGAAUGGUGGCUGGAAAGUUGCCUGACAGAAAAGGCCCUGGGGCUGCUGGCCAACAGCUGGCUGAACAUGAGCCAGCAGUGUGCCCAGGUGUGAAAGAAGGCCAACAGCAUCCAGCAUCUUGGCUUAUAUCGGAAACAGUGUGACCAGCAGGACUAGGGAAGAGAUCAUUCCUCUGUACUUGGCACUGGUGAGACCGCACUGUGAGUAUUGUGCUCAGUUUCGGGCCCCUCACUACAGAAGGGAUAUUGAGUUGCUGGAAUGCAUUAAGACAAAAGCAGUGAAGCUGGUAAAGAGCUAGUAAGCAAGAAUUAUGAGGAGUGGUUGAAAGAGCUGGGACUGUUUAAUCUGGAGGAGGCUGAAGGGAGGCCACACAGUUCUCUACAACUACUUGAAAGGAGGUUAUAGCAAGGUGGUCUCUUUCUUUAGGUGACAAAUGAUGGGACAUGAGACAAUGGCUUCGAGUUGAACCAGGGAAGGAUAGAUUAGAUAGUAAGAAGUUAUUCACGUAGAGAGUGGUCAAACAUUGGAAUGAGCUGGCCGGAGGAAUGGUUAUAUUUAAGAAAUGUGUGGAUAUGGAACUAAGAGACAUGGUUUAGGGGUGGACUUGUUAGCAUUCGGUGAUGGUUGGACUUGAUGAUCUUAAAGGUCUUUUCCAAUCUAAGUUCUUCUAUGACUCUUAUAUGGUGCAGCAGCCUCCUGGGAAAAAAAAAAAUCGUUGCUACUAGUGUUCAUUAAAAUGUCAUCAAUGCUUUCAUCUGAAAUACAGCUCCAUAAGUUAGCCACUUGCAUGUACUUUUUCCACUGUGCUUUCUUGUGUAAAGUUGAUUAUUAGAAAAGUUUGCAAAGAAUAAGCUUCACCCUAGCUUUUAAUAUGCAGAGACUCCUUUGUUUUUCUUUUGUAUGUGACAGGCAGUGCUUCAGUUUCAGAAACUUUAGGUGGAUUUCUUUUGAGCACAUGCUCAGAUCAUAAUUCCUAUAAUAAUCUAGCUGACGCACACAGUACAGUAUGCAGCUAGCAGUGUCUUGUGCAGCUAAACCUUGUGUUUCCUUCAUGGUGGUCAAUAUUCUAGAUUUAAGGGCCAAGUAUUCUGGUUGGAUUACACCUGUUGUUACAAAUUAUGUUCAAGUAAAUCAUGUGAUGCUCCAUCAUACAGUCAGGUGAUCGUUGUUCUGCAUCACUGGAGAUGUUAUACAACCACAGUGGCAGCCCAGCACUAAGAGAGCAGGGUACUUGUUCUGGAGUUCCAAAGAGGCAAUUGGCCAUCAGAAAGAAAAACAACUUAGUUAGAUGACUUCACACUAAACAUCUUGAGUCAAUUCAACAACUGAAAAUACUCUUUAUUCCAGAAAAAGGAUCUUAUAUAUAAUUUUCCCAUGAAAAACCACAGUUUUAUGGGAAAUGCAUUUGCCUUUGGUAUGUUGCUACAGUGAGUUGUCCUUGAUCACUUCUAAUCAUUUAAACAUUUUAGCUACGUGUGGUAUUAUUAUUUACUCUGACAUACAAACAAUACAGUACUGUGUCCUUUGCUCUGCUUUUUACCUGUGCUGGUCUCCUUUCCUUUUCUCUACGUCCAUUAGUUUGCAUUGGCCCUAAAAUGUUGACUAGACAAACAGAUCAUCUAACCUCACCCAGCCAGUCAUAUUUCAGCUAAUUACCUUGUGUGGUCCCAACCCCCAAGCAAUUUUCAUGUAAACAAGUUUCAGGAAUUGUAGAUAAUUCCCUUGCUGCUCUCAAGUUCAGACAGGUGUUUUCUUUGUUUUUGCGAAGGUUCUAUUCUGUGUCAUUAGUCUUUGUAAGUCAUUAUUUUUUGUUUUAACUGCUUUGAUCUAUUCACUAACUUCAAACUGGCCUUUCUAAGUAAAAGUUGACUCCUUUAUGUUUUCAUUGAUUGAUUUUUGUGUUAUAAUAAUGUUUGUAAACACAGCUUAGUUUCAUUCAGUUUUUCAUCUGUGCUCAAAUAAAUGAGAUUUCUACCACAGAUAAGACCCACAAAUCUUUCUUUCCCACUAGGAAAAGUACAGAUAAUCCUAUGGCAACAGCUGUCAGGUAAAAGCCCAGCCUAAAUCUCACUGAGGAUGCAUGUACUCCAGGGUGAGCUGGUCUGCAGCAGGCUCAGCUUCUGCAGGUUACAUUAUAGAGAAGAUUCAAAUGUUUCAGAAGAAUGAGAAAGGUGUCCAUUCCAAAUGCCAGCUUCCUCCCUGUGUGAGGGAGAGAAGUGAGUUCAGGUGAAGCAAAAUGUAGCCCCUGAAAUCUUCAUUCUUACUCUUACCUCCAACUUUUACCUUUCCAACCUUUCGUUUUCAGCUGUAGCUAGUCUUGGCUCAACUUUGGAAUUAGUACUUGUUUAUGGUAUCAGUGUGUACAAGCAUUCCUCAGUAUUCUCCAGCAGAAGCAGUUGGUCAUGAUCCUGACUUUUUAUAAGUAGUUCAAAGACUUCCACAAUCCUAGAGGAGAAGCAGGGUCUCUUGGUAUACAUAUCUUAUGAAGAAGAGUAAGCAAAUAUGCCGUCUAAAAAUGAUUUUAAAGGUCACAGCAAGUAACAGUAAAGUGCAGUAGUAUGUUGUGGUUACCAGUGAACUCUUCUCUCCUUACAUACUGAAAACUAAGGUGACAUGUUAGACUACUUCUAAAUUGAUUGGAUUUUGGGGUUUGAUUUGUCUAAAAUCCCUUUAAAAGAACUUUAAAAAAAAAAAAAAAGCUUCCAAAGGGAAGUUGUCAAACUAAAAUAUUUCUGAAUUUUAUUGCAUAUGGUGAGAAGCAUAGAGAAAAGAUACAAAAUCGCUGAGGGAAAUAAUGGUACUUAUCUAAAGCCUUUCAUCUCUGUAACUGGUCUGCACUGGUGUUCAUGAAGCUAUAUUAAUGUCAUUGUGAUCCUUGAAAUGAGCUAGGUGUUUUCUUCUGUUCAUAACAUGUAUUUUUUUAUUAUUAUUAUUUCCUAAGGAACGUUCUGUUAGAAGAAUAUCAUAAUAUAAUAUCAUAACUGAUAUUAGUAACACCUUCAUCAGUCACCAGUGGAAAAUCCAUGAAAUCCUUAACACAAAUUCUGUUGGUUUCAGGCAGGAGAACAGCACAGAUGCUGUAAGUUUCCAGGACCCAGCUGUCAAAUAGUGUGUGUAGAAAGCUAUGAUUUAGAAUUUCCUCUCUAAGGCUUCCCAGCAGUGAGCCUAAAUGCAGAAUGUGGGUUAGGGAGCCCACAUUCUCCCUGGGGAGAUGAAACAAACAUGCCCAGGAGCCAGAAAAGAAUCUUAUUUCUGUUCUCAUCUUAUUUACAGCCUGCUUUCAAACCAGCUGAGAUUUCCAUACUGUGAAACUUGGAUUCAGAUAAAAAUGACUUUGUGCUACUCUGAUCCUAAUUUUACUUCCAAGCUGUAGGGUUUUGUCCACCUCAGGGAAUAAUGCAAAAUAGAUGCAGGAUGAUUGUGGAAGAGUAUUUUUGCAACACUGUUGCCUUCAUGGUUGGAGAUUCUUGGUUUACUCAGUCGGCAAAUCAUUCGCGGCCUUCAUUGGAAUUUCUGCCUCUUAGAGCAAAGAUAAAUAAAUGAAAAAAUAUAUGUUUCCAAGAAACGGAAGUUGCAUAAACACGAUUUGACUUGACAAUAAAAUAGUGCUGACCUGACAGCGCCAUCAGGGCCUGAUGGACUAAAGCUUUAAUUCUCAAGAUCACAAGGCAGACCAGUGCAUAUAUUUCCAUCGCUGUCUUCAGCUUAGUUUCUAUGUGGAGGCAUUUACCUUGUCUUCUACUUCUAUCUCAGUGCUUUAUAGAGAAUGUUGGAGUAUGCUCUUACAUCCUUGCUGUGGAGUGUAGAGAGACAUUUUCCAAGUAAGCAUAAUAACUGCCUUCUCAAGGCAUAAUGCAGUGUACUGCCAGCACUGUCAGUAUAGGGGGAGUAGCUGUAGUGUUCCUACUGCUGUGAUGGUUGACAGAUAUGAGAAAGCACUCUUACUUUUCUGUGUCUUCUACCUACAUCACACAAAUGAACCAUUUCCCUCAACUUCUGUUUGUUAGUAAACUUAGAGAAAACACUGACAUAAAUUCAUUCAUGGUUAGGAUUUAAGUUAAUUCUCUUUCCUAGACUUCUGAACCAAUUAGGAUUUAGCUAACUGUUUAUUUUCCCCUCAACUUGCAGAUCUGGAAGCAGAGUAGAAGCAGACCCAGUUCAGUGUAAUCUGUAAUAUUACUUCCUUCCAUUUUCUCUCUUUUCCUGUGAAAUCUAGUUCCCCAGGGCCCACAAAUCUGGGACAAAUUGGCUGUUGAUAUUUUCCAAUUGUUUGUUGAUGGAAAAGGGUGUAAACUGAUCCAUGUAACUUGGAAAGUUUUAAAAUAUCUCUCCUAUGACAUACAAAGCCAUGCUUUGUCUUCAUGAAAUUAGAUUGUUCUCAUAAAGGCUUAACAAUACAGAGAAGUGUUAAAAAAAUGUGUUUUAUUAAUAUCAUAGUGUAGUAAUGUAAGGUCAUAGCAGCUGAGAAUUGCUUGAAUUUACUCCAGAUGUUGCUUAAAAAGCCCUGAUUUUUGACAGAUGUUUGAGAAUAAAAUAUAGAGCAUGGCGACAAAGGACUUUUGUAAAUGUUACUCUAUGUUACAAACUUCUCAUCGAGGUGCUAAGGCUCACUGAAGUUAUUUGGUGCAAUAGAGGAAAGUUUGUGCCCCUACUAAGGGAAGUGAGUUCAUCUGUAAUACCAGCUGCCAGAAAAUGCCACAUGGGAGAGAGAUGACAGCAAUCUGGAAAAUCACUCUGAUCAGACACUGUACUUUAAGAAGGAAAUAAAUUGCACUGUAUACAGAGCUGUAAGUAUCUGACCUUUGUGACCUUCACUGCCAACUGGUCUCUAAUUUAAAUGAACUGUGCUGCAAACGUCAUUGUUGAAAUAUUAUUUUGAUAAAAACAGAGCAAAAGGAGAUGGUUUAGAUUUAAGUUUGAAACAGGAGAAUUACAUAGUUUGCUAGAAAUCCAGAACUCUUUUUUUAUUCCUUUUGCUCUUCUUUUUUUUUUUAAUUGCAUGAAACCUGUAGAGCACCUUGCACCUGGCACUCCUGGAAUUAACGCUAUUAAAAUCUUUGCUUGUGCUUCUGACAAACAACUACUCUUCAUGCUGUACCCAAAGUCUCCAUUAAGAUUUACAACAACUGAAUUUAAAAUAGGAUUGUCUCUGCACUGAGGAAAACCAUUUGCAAAUAGCAUUUUAGUUUUCUUUCUCAACUAUUACUUUAAAAUUCUCAUUUAUGAAGCUGUUGGCAGGAGACAAAGUCUUAAGCUAAGUGCACAAUAGCAGUACAAACUUUGCUACUUGAGAAGUUCAAGGAGGUUAAGUUCUACUUGGUGAUGACUUUCCCCGCAAAUCUCAUUCUCAUGUUUUGAAUUUUCAGACUCUUCUCACUGUGUGGUCAAUGGAGCUGAAAGACAUGUUCUAGGUGAACGUGUCCUUACAUCUAAAUGUGUGUUUGAGUUUAUAUUCAACUACUGACUAUACAAGUCUAAUGUAUACCUUGUGCUGAAUCAGCCCGUUCCCUCCCCACCAGAUGUCCUGCACCCUUCUCUUGGAGAUAUUUUCUCUGCUUCCCAGUUACCAUGUAGCCCAAGUGUUUGUGCCUGGGUUGUUCCUGUGUACGUAAUAAAGACAGCUUCAGUUAGAGUUGAGAGGCAUUUCAGUGUCCUAAUUUAAACCAUCCUCACUAUGGUUGUCAGAGGAGGUGGCCACUCUUGUGAAAUAAAGACAAUUUCUCUUCCUCAGUUUCCUGUAGAAAGGAAGGACUGUGCUUGGAUGAGGUAAGCUGGAGCCUGAAACUUUCUGUUUGCUGACAGAAUGGAUAAGAAGUCAGAUGCAAUGUGAACUUCACGAAGGUCCGUCACAAACAAAGGCAGAUCAGUUAGAUUGUGAUUCAGAAAUGUGUUUAUGUAUGUCCUCUGCUUUGGACACUUGUCUGAUUCAAGUUUAAUUCUGAAACCUACCUGCGUUCUUAAAGCCAGGAGUAAUCUGGUGUGAGUGAAUCAGGGGAAUGGCUGUUUGUCCUGGUUUCAGUUGGGAGAGUUAAUUUUCUUCCUUGAGGCUGGUAUGGUGCUGUGUUUUGGAUUUAGGAUGAGAAUAAUGUUGAUAUCAAACCAACGUUUUGGCUGUUGCAGAACAGUGCUGCACAGAUCCAAGGAUGUUUCAGUUUCUCAGAGCUGGGGGUGCGCAAGAAGCUGAGAGGGACAGAGCCAGGACAGCUGACCCAGACUGAACAAAGAGAGAUCCCCUACCUUAUAAUGUCAUUGAACAGUAAAACGGGGAGUUGGCCAUGGGGUUGCCACUGACUGGGGACUGGCUGGGCAUCAGUUGGCAGGAGGUGAGCAAUUGCAUUGUGCAUCACUUGUUCUGUAUACUCUUCUUGUUAUCUUUUUUUCCUUUCCUAUUUUUUCUUAUUAAACUGUCCUUAUCCUCAACCCACAGGUUCUCAUGCUUCUACCUUUCUGAUACUCUCCCCUCAUCCCACUAGGAGGGAGAAGAGGGCAAAAGGUUGUGUGGUUCUGAGCUGGUUUAAACCACAGAAGUCCUUUUUGCACUGAGUGUGAGGUGUGAAAGACUGAGAUAAUAGCAGAUCUGACCAUAGUAUGUUAAAACAAAUUUGUUGUAAAAAUUAUGUUAGUUUAAUAUUUGCCGGUCACAUUGUUGAUUUAUUUUUUUCACAGUGUUGAUAUAUUUGUUGAUAUAGUUUCUGAUUUUCUUGAAUCUUUUCUUGUUGUUUAUCAUCUCCAGGGACUGGCCUAAGUUUGUUUACAAUUUUGCCAGUUUGUAUGUAGCAUGUGCUCAUAUUAGACUGACCAGGAACUUAAUCUGUUAUUUUCACUCACUUAAGGCUAUCAUUCUUGCACUUCAGGAGCCUUACAGUGAGAAUUAUUAAAAAAUACAGUGUUUACUCCAGGCACAUUAAAAUAGUUUUCAAAAAUUUUUGAAUACUCUUGGGAUAUUCACACUAGUGUGGUCCUGUUGCUAUGUCUUGUGCCACGUGCUUCAAUUUUUAUCUGUUGUUAAGCAGCUAUUUAAGAAUGCUACCCUGAGAUCUUCACUGAAACAGGAUGGUUAUGGGUGGCAAGGUGUGUAGGAGAAUAUAGGCAGGUAUUUAUCAGAGUUGUCAUCUUUGAUGGUUUUGGGAUUCAACUCUCAACAAGUAGAGAAUUCUAAAAAAAAAAGGUAUGCCCUCAUUCUGGCAAUGCCAGUGAUUUACAGCCCACUGCACUGUGCUGGAGUCUGGCUUGGACCUAUCAAGCAUUAUUCAACACUAUUCAGCACCUCCAAAAGGAAGAAAACAACCCUGGAUCUGACCCAACCUCUGCAACAGGCCCAGCUGCUGAACCAGAAAACCAACUCAUGCUGACAUCAUAUAUCCCUAUAUUCAAGAAGAAACAAGGGAACUGAAAGAUAAUUUGUUAAGGAAGACAAGAAACUUCUAAGUAGAAAGGGAAGGAAGAAAACAUGGACAAGGCAGGCUGUGCUGAAGAAAGGCCAUACAAGAAAGGGAGGAAGAAGCAGUAAAUGUGGCAGUAUUCACCCAAUCCCUAUCUCUGUGUGAGCUGAAACAUAUGCAAAAAGAUUCAGCCCUCCUCCAGGUGUGCACAUUGUCACCUGGCUGCUUUGAUGCUUGGAUAAUGGGGCUGAUAGCCUGGAAUUAGAGGGCAUGGAAGUGAAAGAUCUGGGAUCCCUCUCUAUGGAAAUGAGCAUUGACAAAGCAAUUAUAAAAAGAGGCACAACCCCUCAGACUCUUGAGGUGACUCUUGUUAUCUGUGAAAAAGGAUAUCCCUACAAGGAAGAUGUUCUAUGUAAACCAGACAACCAUGGAGAAAGAUAUCCGGUACCUGAGGGAAUUAGGCACUCUGGAGGUGAUGUGUUAUGACCUGGACAGUGAGCAUUUAUCACAAGAUCCAGAUAGUGUCAAAAGCAUUUGAUGCAUGUGGAAUAAAUUUGUAUAGAGGACAGUGUCGUCCUGUGCCAUCACACUGUCUGUAAUGAUCUGGAAAAAGAGAGAGGAACUGACAGCGCAUGAAUUGGCUAGCCAACUCCAUCAGUAUGAAGAAAGUCUCUCUCUUCCUCCUUAUGGGCCUGCAUCUCGACUGCUGAGAAACUGGUUCAGGAACUCAAAGAGAGAGAAUGUCUUUUCUCCCAUCUGUACAGAGCAGAAUCUCAGCUACUAGGAGUAAACAUUCUUCUCAAGAGAGCUGCAACCAGAUGAGGUGAACACUACCUCAUAUCUGCUAUUGAUCUGUGGAUGACUUUAGGCAAAUCGGGCAAUGUUUAUGACUUUCUUUACUCUCUGAGACUCUUUUAGUCAACUGCGAAUUUCCUGGAGCUCCUUGGAUGAAAGUCUAUGUAAGUACAAAAUGAAAUAUUGUAUUGUGAUAUAAUUCAGUGAGAGGAAAAUAGUUCUUCUGCUUAACUUUUUGUGAUAUAUUAAACCUUUUUCUUUUUGAAAUUUGAAUUUUAUUAAAGUCAGUGAGAUCUCAAAGUACUUUUUGUAAUUUGAUCUUUGAAACAUCUUUUAAUAACAGAAAUAACAUUCUGCUUCUGCUAUAAAAGGAUUGUUUUCAACCCCUGUUUAAAUGAAUCCUGUGAUGUACCAUGUCAGACAGUCAGGUGAUGGCUGUUUUUCGUCACUGAAGAUGCUGUAUAACCACAGUGCUGCUCAUGAUUUUAACACCAUGAUACAAGGGAUGAACAAGCAUCUUUUUCUUGAUCUAAAACACAUGACAUAGUGUGGUACAGAGGUUCAUUUCAACUUCUUGCAUGACACUUUUGAACCUGUUUCCACAUAUUUAUUGGCAGCAUUGAUUUUGACCUCUGCUUGUACUGCCAAAGCAUUUUAGGACAAAAACAGUGAGCGAAAAUGUUAACUUUUCACUUGAACUUAGAUCACAUUCUAUUUUACAUCAAGUGACAGGGUUAAAUAAACUUCAUAGUGUUACUGAGCUCAGUGUGACAAAAUGACAUUUGAGAUAAAACUGAAUACUGAUAAAAUCAUGAGAAGUAUCUCAUUUGUACUGUCUGAUUUAUGAAAGAGUAAAUUCUUUUGAUUUUUCUCUUUUCUUCCUCUUUGGAAUAGUAUUUCUCACACAUUUCCAGAAAUGUAGAAUGUAAUCCAAAUGGCCCUCUUUUUCACUAUUUAUACAUAUGUCUUACAUAUAUGAGUGGGGUCUACCUGGGGACUAACUUUGACAUUAUCACAUUCCUGAAGAAGAGUGGCUACUGGGAGACACAGAAGUGUCAGAUGCCAAGGAGUGAGCAUUGCAUGCUAACAGCCCCAGCAUCAUACUGUGUAUUAUUAUGUAUUAUAACUUGCCUCUGCAGUAUAUAUGUUUUUGUUUACCCCCUUAGCCUUUCUCCUUUUCAACAUGUUGUGCCUUCCAGCACCUUUGUCCUUGAGUUCCUCCAUCCCUCUCUCUCUCUCUCUCUCUUCCUGGCAGUCAGACCACCCUACUGCAGCUUUGGCCAUCCCUCUAACCUUCAAUUUCUGUCCUGAAAUACAUGAAUGCUGAAAGGCCAUUAUCAUCUCCAGUGUACUGCAAAUGAAAACAAAACAAUCAUGCCACCUUCUUUGGACAUCUCUGCCUGCAGGAAAAUAUGAUUCCUACACCACAAGGCUGGUCAGGUGCCUGCAGUUUGUUGGAUCUCUAAGUACAAUUAGAAGACAAACUCCUUGAAGCACAGCCUAACCCUAGGCUAUCACUUAUAUUAUAGCCUGAGUGUGCCAUCCGCACAAAGCUCAUAGCAGCAGGCAUAAUACUAGCCCACAAAAAUUAAGAACUGUUAUGUUGUUAAACUCUUUCCAAGGUGAAGGUUUCUAUAGUAAAGCGUGUAUGGAAUUCUGUGUCAUACUGAAGGAAGAGGAAUAAGUCAUGUUAAAGAGUUACUAAUGUGUAUGGAGAAAAUUAUUUAAAAAUAAAUAAAAUAAAUAAAUAAAAUUAUUUACAAAUAACUUUAUCCAGGUCCUCAAAUUUGGGCAUAGACAGAAUAUAUAUUGUCCCAAUAGAUUCAGUGGAACAUUUUGGCUGGGUCACAUUCUUUUUCUUUCCUACAGGUGUGUAAAUAAUCAGUUAUCUGAACAGUUUAAAAAGAUGAAUCCUUUUGAAGACUUCUGGAUAUGUUUACUGCAUCCAGACUAUGCAAGCACUGUCUGGUUAGAAAUGCUGUCGCUUGUAUAGACCUCCUUAAAAAGGUCUGCCAAGUCACCACAGAGGCCAUCAGGAAGACUGUGGUGAUUAUUGCCGUCUCCUAUUUCAUGCAAACUCUGUAGCACAGUCAAAACUGCAAAAGCAAUACAUCACUUUCAGAAUGAAACAGCAACAAUAAAAAAUCUCAACAGAUUUGGGAGCUUUUAAUAACAGUUCUUUUCCAGGUAUCAGAAAACUGAAGAGUUAAAUAGAGAGAAUAAAUAGACGUGAAUUUCAUAAAGAUACUAACCAAGAGUAGCGAAAGAUGGAUGUUUCCCAAAAGGUUCAGAGGGUUCAUUUAGUUCAGAUGAUAACUCAUAAUAACUUGGCUAUUUAUCCACAGCUAUCUUUUGAAGUGAGGAAUGUUUUAUCUAAUGCUAUUUGUAUUAAAAUCAGUGAGAGAUCAUUCGCUGAUCUUCUUUACAAAAACUUUUUGUGUGCCAGUACUAUGCCUGACUUCAGCAUUUGAAAAAGAGACGUACAUAGCAAAUGUCAUAGUCAAUACUCACAACUCUGACUAAAUAGUUACAGAUUUUAACAAGAAGUAAAACCACCACAUAAGAUCUGAGAUUACCAACAAACGUGGAUUAUUUUAUUUUACAAGGCCCAAUAAAGAUCACUGGUCUUUUGAAACAGUAGUUGCUUAAUAUUUUGACAAGGCUCUAUAUAAUUAGAAGCCAGAGAAGUAGCCAUAAACUGCUCAUAUGAUAUAUCAAAACUACCUGUAUAAGCACAGGGACGCUUAUGUUUUAGAGGAGAUGGGAAAAAUAAAUGUAGUGAGGUAGCAAAUGCUUUUUCUGUGUAGUGGAAGAAUCAUCUGAGACCUCAUUUUAUUUCUCUUGCAUUCAGCAGUUUAAUAUUUCAAGAAGGGGUCAUUCAAAGGUUCCAGUAUCCCGAAGACCUUCACUCAUUUGCUUAUUGGUAACAUUUCUGAAACAUUUUAAAAGGUUUAAAAAAAAUAUUCUCAGGAUGACAAAAAAGGAAUAAAAUCUCAUCUUUCUACUGUCAUAAAAAAACCCAAACAGAUAAAUACACAAAUGAAAUGCAAAAUCCCAGUAGUUCUACAAGGGCAUUUAUGUUUUCUUUUUAUGGCCUAGUUCAACUCUUGCACUAUUGGAGCUAGCUAUUGUAAAUGCCAUUCAUGUGAAAAACAUCAGAAAGAGCUGAGAAUGCACUACCUGUCUUUUAUUUCUGGGAUGUUUCCUGUUGAAAUGAAAUAAAUACUACAAGUAAAAUGCCCACUUGAGCCUUACCACUUUUGUAAACAUUCCUAAAUGACGUGCUAAGGAUUGUUUACACAAGCUGUGCCAGCUGCUUAAUGGUUAAAUACUUUACCUUUCUUCACACUGAAGCAGCAGGGAAGGAGGCAUAUAGGGGAGGAACAUGCAAUUAUGAGCAAUCUAAUUGAUCAUCCAAAGACCAUCUGGAAAAUCUGCCUGCCGAUGGACAAACUGCUGGUGGAGUGCGUUUAACACUUAACACCCAACACUAUGCUCUGUUCAAGCAAUUGACAGACUUAGGGGAAAACUAUCCGGCACCAGCUUGGCUUUCCCCACUGCUCAAACACAUGAACCUACCUUUUCAGAAUUGUUUCUUUACCUGAAGUAAGCUAAAUGUACUGACCAACUAUAUUUUGCAAUAAAUUACCCAGAUAAGCUAACUAAGCAUUUCAUACCUGCGUUGACUAUUCUUACUGCUUUUUAUGGAGUUGAAUCCUCUUAAAUCAUAUGUUAAUUAUAUUGUUGAGAUUUACAGUGUUGUUACAGUGGUAUUUUCAACUCAGAGAAUCUCAUUUUGGGAUUUUUAAUAAAAGUAGCUACUCAAUUACUUAUCAGGAAAUGGAAAUAUAUUUUCAUGUAUAUGAUUUUUUCCCUUAAAUGAGUCAUCUCAGCUUAGCCCACAACAUUAAGGUUUUCUUCCACAAAGUACUUAAACAGAAGUGUAUAUUUAAACAUGUGACCAGUGGUACAGUUUCAAAGAAUGGCUCAUGCUCCUACGCUUACAAAUGUUGAAAGGCCUUGUUGAAUCAGCAGCUUCAGCAAAAUUGGCAAAGUCACAUUUCUCUGGAUCACAUUUAGUUACUUUAUAUAUUUUUUUUUUUAAUUUUUUUUUUUAGAGCAUAGGUCUUAAAAACAGGAAAACCAGUGGGAAAAAUCCAUGAUUCAACUGGUAUUUAACAGAGAACAUAGUGAUUAUAGCCAAAUAUAGAGUCCUGUGAAACCAUGCCUGUUAGUAGAUAAUUACUCCCCAAAACAGAAGACGCACGCCUCACCAGGCACGUCGUGCAUUUUUAAACCUAUUUUUUUCAAACAUACAUUCAGCCUUACCUACAGCUUGCAUUACCAAGCAUACAUGAGUGUAGUAAAUACUCAGCCACCCAACACUGAUCACAAUAAAGCUAGAGUUUUAUUGAAAGAUAGUAAGGUACUGCUACACGAAAGAAUUUUCCAAUACAGUAGCACUGAAUGAAAGGAGAGUCAUGAAGCCUUUGGGAUAUAUAUUUUAUUUUUCCAUUGCAUUUGGUUCCUUUCAGAACGUAAACAAAGGGUUCACAGUGCUGUUUGGCUGUCUCCUGCUUCUUCAGGCAAACAGAUUUCUGUUUGCUUUAAUGUGACGUAUAUGCGUUCAUUGUUUUCACUAAGAAGAGGUUUGUGUUUUGACACAAACACUGCAGAGGAAUCUGCAAGGGAUCAAAAGGAGGGAGCCUUCAUAGUGCUGUAGGCAGGAUAUGAAGCAUUUCAUUCACUUCAGUGUUAACUUGACUGUUCUAGGCCAAAUCCUGACCAUGCUGAUGGUCAGUGGAUGGAAAAGUUCUGGCUUCCAGAGCCAGAAUUCAUCUUAGAAACUGACCAGGAUUCCUGUGUGGGGGUACACCCUUUCCAUUCCUGAUAUUAAAAUAGUGUGGCAUCAUUUUCAGUCCUGGCUAGAAUUACCUUGGAUGUGGUCCUGUGCGACCUGCAGGUGUUCAGCUUUGAAAAUUCUGUCUGCUCCUCCCAUGUGCAGCUACACAAAAUCUUAGAUGAAGCCCAGUUUCUUCCUUUCUUUCUUUCUUUCUUUCCAAAUGUCAGCAAAACCUUCUUAGGUCUCCCUUGAAAGACAGAAAAUUUCCAAAUUAAGCUGCAAACUAAAGAGAUAUAUUUCAUGAUCACUGGAAGGACUUAAGUGCUCUAAUUUUGACAGUGUUUGCAAAGAACUUUGCAUAUAGAUCAGUGGAUGAACAACUCAUCUCAUCCACUUUCAAACUGCAUGCAUUUGCCUUCUGCUGAUCUGUCCCCAUGACUACUGAAGGGGAGACUAGGCUGAUACUAGGCCGACUCAAGGGGACAAUCAAUCCUUCCCUUGGGCACAUUUUAAAUACUGAUGCUCAGAUGCCCAGGCAGGACUUGGUAUAAAAACAAGCAUCUUCCAGUGGCCAGGCCCAGGGUUCUCUCUGUUUUGAGAAAACACAAGUUAAUUUGCACACAGAUAAUUUGCUGUAUAUAGAGAAGCAUAAGUGCUUUGGCAUAGUUGUGUGGGGGACCUAAUCCAAGGACCAUUGCUGCUGAGUGGCCAGCAUAUCGUACCUUUUUGUGCCUUCCUAUGUUGGAGUUUCUGGUCUCUAAGUCCUCCUAUGAUCAUGAAAAUACACUUUAAAACUUAAGAAGAAAUGCCAAAAAUAUAUAAAUUUAUAAACUAAACCUAACCCACAAUAAAAAAAGUAGGUCCCAAACUAAUAAGUUGCAAAUACAGUGCUCUGUAUGUGUGGGAGGGACAGAUAAUUGAGGGCUGUGUUAUGAUUUUGAACCCGUGCUGGAUACUUGUGGUACAUUUUCUCUUUCAAAGAGUAUGUGAGAGGUGUCAGCCUUCCAAUAAAACACUAAAUAUUUUAAAACAACAACACCCCUCGUCUGGCGGCUGUAUUUCAAAGAACAAACAUCAGUCCAUUGUCUGGCUUCUGCCGUCAUCUUGUACAUGGAGAAAGCCAAAGACUCCAAAUAAUUUUGUGGCCUCGGGCAUCAACAAUAAACAAUGUAUAUUUGAUGUGUUGGCCUAAUUUCUGCCCAUUGAAUCUGCCAUUUUAAAUCUGUUUGCACGCUAUUUUUAUUUAUUUUUUACAUUCAAGGUCUUUGUAGGCCCUGUGAUCUUUCUCUGCACCUUUCUCAAGUGGUACAGUUUCAUAUUUAGGAUGAUACUCUGAGGAACAGACAAUCAAAAUACAAUUUUACACUAAAAGACCAGAACAUUGUAGAAAUGGUUUUUGCAGAAUUCUGCACUUUCAACCUGGUGAACAUGGCUAUUUGUACACUUUUUAAUUACAUUAGCAAAUGUUUGGUCCUGAAAGCAGGGGAAAGGAAAUAUAAUUAUACUGACAGAGGAGACAGAGAAUAUUUAUUGAUUACAGUUUCUAAAGUUCUGCUAGAUUUCUGCUAUGAAAAUUGUUGUCCUGAAGGGAGACUGUAAACCUAUUUUUGAAGAUCAGUAGGUCUUAAGAAGAGCUGUUAUACUUCAGAUAAUUGCUUUAUCCUUUUUCGUAUGAUAUAUAAGCUCUUCUAACACUCGUGGUACCAACAUUUGUUUGUGACUUCUAUUGCACUCAGAGUAGCCAUUGAUUCAGAUGACAGAUCUGCUCUUUGGUCUCUGCAAAGCUGUAUUUUCAGAAGACUAAAUUACUCCUUUUUCCUCCCCAUUCCUCUGAGCUCCUCUCCCUGGGGCUUCACUUUGCAACUCAGACUCAACACAACCAAAGAACCAACUCUUCUCAGAAGAAAGAGUAAUAUGCAGUCUAAAGCAGCAUUAAGUAUACCAUAGUAAUUUAUUAAUGGAAAAAAAGGUUGUGAUUAACAUACAGGGAAUAUUUCAGUGCUGAACCUUGGUAAAGGUAUGACAGGUAUGAAAUUCUCAGCAGUGGCAAUUAAAAAGCUUUAAUACACAAAGAAAACUGUUGAAUGUGAUUUUGUAUUUUAUUUACAAGCUGUGGCAAGUGCCACAUAGUCGAGGCUUCAUCCUCAGAUUAUGUACCUACAUGUACAUUAGAGUAGCUGGCCACAUAAGUGUGCAAGUCAUAAAAUCUAAAAUGCUUAGAAGGAAGUAGCUGAGCCACUACAGUAGGAAAUGCCACUAGGGCUACACUGAGGAGGUAAAAUUUCCAGCUAGAAGGAAGAUAAGGG
RNAcentral lists this long non-coding RNA (33579 nucleotides) under Gallus gallus (chicken). RNAcentral describes it as "lncRNA (ENSGALG00010007142.1)". Lineage: Eukaryota; Metazoa; Chordata; Aves; Galliformes; Phasianidae. The record is from RNAcentral.